Molecule: ribosomal RNA, 205 nt
Filed under: uncultured bacterium
Lineage: Bacteria
Description: partial 16S ribosomal RNA
Rfam family: Bacterial small subunit ribosomal RNA
Source: RNAcentral
CUCGUAGGUGGCUAACUAAGUCAGACGUGAAAUCCCCAGGCUUAACCUGGGAACUGCGUCUGAUACUGGAUGGCUUGAAUUCGGGAGAGGGAUGCAGAAUUCCAGGUGUAGCGGUGAGAUGCGUAGAUAUCUGGAGGAAUACCGGUGGCGAAGGCGGCAUCCUGGACCGAGAUUGACACUGAUGAGCGAAAGCGAGGGAGCAAAC